CAGUAGCGUAUAUUAAAGUUGUUGCAGUUAAAAAGCUCGUAGUUGGACUUGCACUCCUUUUGGAGCAGCCUAGCAACUCCGCAUGUCCUUAAUUGGAUGGCGGAGACCUGCGGGCCCUUUACCUUGAGAAAAUUAGAGUGUUUAAGGCAGGCCACGCCUGAAUACUACAGCUGGGAAUAAUGCAUCACGACUGUCUUGGCGAGGCAGCUCUACACUUUUAAUAGGAACGGUUGGGGGCAUUCGUACUCAGCAGUCAGAGGUGAAAUUCUUGGAUUUGCUGAAGACGGACUAGUGCGAAAGCAUUUGCCAAGGAUGUUUUCAUUAA
Molecule: ribosomal RNA, 325 nt
Filed under: uncultured eukaryote
Lineage: Eukaryota
Description: partial 18S ribosomal RNA
Rfam family: Eukaryotic small subunit ribosomal RNA
Source: RNAcentral